Molecule: ribosomal RNA, 208 nt
Filed under: uncultured bacterium
Lineage: Bacteria
Description: partial 16S ribosomal RNA
Rfam family: Bacterial small subunit ribosomal RNA
Source: RNAcentral
AUCUCAGUUCGGAUUGGAGGCUGAAACCCGCCUCCAUGAAGUUGGAUUCGCUAGUAAUCGCGCAUCAGCCAUGGCGCGGUGAAUACGUUCCCGGGCCUUGUACACACCGCCCGUCAAGCCAUGGAAGCCGGGAGUGCCUGAAGUGCGUGAGCGCAAGCAGCGCCCUAAGGUAAAACCGGUGACUGGGGCUAAGUCGUAACAAGGUAGC